CCUACGGGUGGCAGCAGUGAGGAAUAUUGCACAAUGGGCGCAAGCCUGAUGCAGCAACGCCGCGUGCGGGACGAAGGCCUUCGGGUCGUAAACCGCUUUUCUGAGGGAAGAGCAAGGACGGUACCUCAGGAAUAAGUCUCGGCUAACUACGUGCCAGCAGCCGCGGUAAAACGUAGGAGGCGAGCGUUAUCCGGAUUUACUGGGCGUAAAGCGCACGCAGGCGGCUCUGUGAGUCGGACGUGAAAGCUCUCGGCUUAACCGGGAGAUGUCGUUCGAUACUGCAGGGCUUGAGGUAGGGAGAGGAAUGCGGAAUUCCCGGUGUAGUGGUGGAAUGCGUAGAUAUCGGGAGGAACACCUGUGGCGAAAGCGGCAUUCUGGCCCUCACCUGACGCUGAGGUGCGAAAGCGUGGGUAGCAAACAGGAUUAGAUACCCGAGUAGUC
Molecule: ribosomal RNA, 441 nt
Filed under: uncultured bacterium
Lineage: Bacteria
Description: partial 16S ribosomal RNA
Rfam family: Bacterial small subunit ribosomal RNA
Source: RNAcentral